This 463-nucleotide ribosomal RNA is filed under the name uncultured Oscillibacter sp. RNAcentral describes it as "bacterial SSU rRNA". It matches the Rfam family "Bacterial small subunit ribosomal RNA", at positions 40 to 507 of the family's 1533-position model. Lineage: Bacteria; Bacillati; Bacillota; Clostridia; Eubacteriales; Oscillospiraceae. The record is from RNAcentral.
CGGCGUAGCUUAACACAUGCAAGUCGAACGGAGCACCCUGAAGGAGUUUUCGGACAACUGAGGGAAGUGCUUAGUGGCGGACGGGUGAGUAACGCGUGAGUACCUGCCUUGGAUGGGAAUAACAUUGGAACAGCUGCUAAUACCGCAUAUAUGUCUGUGUCGCAUGGCACUGGGCAUCAAAGAUUUAUCGCUCUGAGAUGGACUCGCGUCUGAUUAGCUAGUUGCGGGUAACGGCCCACCAAGGCGACGAUCAGUAGCCGGACUGAGAGGUUGGCCGGCCACAUUGGGACUGAGACACGGCCCAGACUCCUACGGGAGGCAGCAGUGGGGAAUAUUGGGCAAUGGGCGCAGGCCUGACCCAGCAACGCCGCGUGAAGGAAGAAGGCUUUCGGGUUGUAAACUUCUUUUCUCAGGGACGAAGCAAGUGACGGUACCUGAGGAAUAAGCCACGGCUAACUACGUG